RNAcentral lists this ribosomal RNA (822 nucleotides) under Aerococcus urinaeequi. Its description in RNAcentral is "bacterial SSU rRNA". It matches the Rfam family "Bacterial small subunit ribosomal RNA", at positions 136 to 944 of the family's 1533-position model. Lineage: Bacteria; Bacillati; Bacillota; Bacilli; Lactobacillales; Aerococcaceae. The record is from RNAcentral.
GCGGGGGAUAACAUUCGGAAACGGGUGCUAAUACCGCAUAAUAUCUUCUUCCGCAUGGAAGAAGAUUGAAAGACGGCUCUGCUGUCACUUAUAGAUGACCUUGCGGUGCAUUAGUUAGUUGGUGGGGUAACGGCCUACCAAGACGAUGAUGCAUAGCCGACCUGAGAGGGUGAUCGGCCACAUUGGGACUGAGACACGGCCCAAACUCCUACGGGAGGCAGCAGUAGGGAAUCUUCCGCAAUGGGCGAAAGCCUGACGGAGCAAUGCCGCGUGAGUGAAGAAGGCCUUCGGGUCGUAAAACUCUGUUAUAAGAGAAGAACAAAUUGUAGAGUAACUGCUACAGUCUUGACGGUAUCUUAUCAGAAAGCCACGGCUAACUACGUGCCAGCAGCCGCGGUAAUACGUAGGUGGCAAGCGUUGUCCGGAUUUAUUGGGCGUAAAGGGAGCGCAGGUGGUUUCUUAAGUCUGAUGUGAAAGCCCACGGCUUAACCGUGGAGGGUCAUUGGAAACUGGGAAACUUGAGUACAGAAGAGGAAUGUGGAACUCCAUGUGUAGCGGUGGAAUGCGUAGAUAUAUGGAAGAACACCAGUGGCGAAGGCGACAUUCUGGUCUGUUACUGACACUGAGGCUCGAAAGCGUGGGGAGCAAACAGGAUUAGAUACCCUGGUAGUCCACGCCGUAAACGAUGAGUGCUAGGUGUUGGAGGGUUUCCGCCCUUCAGUGCCGCAGUUAACGCAUUAAGCACUCCGCCUGGGGAGUACGACCGCAAGGUUGAAACUCAAAGGAAUUGACGGGGACCCGCACAAGCGGUGGAGCAUGUGG